CAAGCUUUCAGAAAUGCUCUCUGGGAAAUCCUCGGGGGAAAGAGAAAUGUGGAAAACAGAGUUGGGUGGGAAGUGCCGAGGAGGUGCGAGACGGCUGCCUGCCAGCACUCAGGAAGCUCCUUGUAGUCAGUGGAGCACAACCAGUGUGCUGAAAGACGCGGCAUUCCUUGUCCGGGAGCAGCUCCCAGAGUCAUGGUGACAAGUGGACAAGAACUUCUGUGCAGGAUGAUUUACCGGUGUCCUUAUUGGCAUCUGAAGAAGGACAAGGAAAGGUAUGUGAAAGCUGGCUUUCUCUCAAAGUCUCUGCAGAAGGGAUAAAAUGUAGUCUGAUUUUGCCUGAACUGAAUGACUUCUUGUCCAGCUGAGAUGUGUCUAUGUGUCAGGAGGAUGAAGCAUCAGUAAGUAGAGUGUUUGCUUAGCAUCCUUUGGUCCUUGUUCUGGCUGCAGAUGAGCUCACUGUAGAGCUGACUGGCUCCUGGCCGCAACCACCCAAGCUCCACUUGCUUUCUACCUGCCCUGGCCUCUGAUGUGCAGAUGCAGACAAAUGUGCAGAUGCAGGACUCACUUCCUCCUCUGGUGCUGUCAACAGCAUUGUCUUGAGGAGUGAUUGCACAUCCAGCUGUGCUGUGGGUGUGAUGGGAGGGCAGAAGAGGAACUGGGGAUGUACUGAGAGUAAAUCCAAGCAAACAGAACUCACCUGGAGAAUGCAGGAUGGAGGUAGGGG
This 724-nucleotide long non-coding RNA is filed under the name Coturnix japonica (Japanese quail). Its description in RNAcentral is "lncRNA (ENSCJPG00005012322.1)". The record is from RNAcentral. Lineage: Eukaryota; Metazoa; Chordata; Aves; Galliformes; Phasianidae.